Long non-coding RNA from Malania oleifera, 1915 nucleotides. RefSeq lists it as uncharacterized. The transcript has 4 exons. The record is from RefSeq and is a predicted model, not a curated record. NCBI's taxonomy places the organism in Eukaryota, Viridiplantae, Streptophyta, Magnoliopsida, Santalales, Ximeniaceae.
GCCGAACCGAUCCGUCCGGCUUUCUAGUGGUCGGUUCCCAAUGAAUUGCCAUAUAGGAGACAAUACGCCUGGACGUAUCUGCCUUCCUGCGCCAACGGAAUUUGGGAUCGCCGGUGAUCGUACCAGCCCCCUUGAAAUCUAUGGAAGGAGCCGCUCCGGUUUAAAUUAACCUGUAUUGGGAUCACCGGCGAUCGCCCAUGCAUUCUCUCCGACUCUAGUUUGAGUAGGCACCUCAUAUUUCGUUUAUUUCACAUAUCUCCCUACAGCAACAGAGUAGCAGAAGGAUUCAGCCUUAGCAUCUCCUUGAUUGCUGCUCUUAUGUACUUCAGUUCAUGGAUUCCACUUUCAUCCACAGUGCUUUUCCCCCCAAAACCUGUCUUACUUCAGCUUGAGUCUUCAUCAUCCCGCUGGGAUUUUUCAUCAUUUCCAAAAAUUGCCAAGCUGAAGAAUUCCCGAAAGAUGCCCACAAGCCGCUUUCGGCCGGCUAAAAUUUUUUUUUUUUUUGGUUAAUUUGACGUCGCUUGGAUUUAUCUCGCCAUUUGUGUUCCUUGGAAUCAACGUUUGCGCGGGAUGGAGUUAAACAUGGUUUCGAAUAUCAGAAGCAUGGCAGGAAACAGAAAGGAAGUUGGCGCCGGGGAUGGCAAUUUUUCGUUUGUGCGUGCCCCAACUAUGGUAGAUCGGCAAAGAAAUGGUGACCUUGAGAGAACUUAUAGGGUGUAAUUGGAGAAUUUAUCCAAUAUUUAGGUUCAGGAGAUGGAAGAGAUUGUAAUGAACCGACAACAAUGACUAGUAAAGGGUUACAGUUUUUCACUUGGGAAACGGAUAGCGCUGGAGUAUCUUUGGAAGCAUUUGCGGGUUUAGAAAAAAGAGUGAAGUAAGAUCUCCAUGGGCAAACGGUUUCAGAUAUGCACAUGCAAGCAUCGGAAGAAACACUAAACUUUCAAAGUGAUAUAUGCCACAACCUAACGCAUUUUGAAAUGCUUCCCCCUUUCGUCGAUUGCUGCAGAAGAGAAUUUGGUAAUAUCAGCACCCUAAACUGAUUUCUGUUGAUCUCUUUUCAGGACAUAUUCAGCACCGGCAGUGAGACAUUAUCAACAGCUGUAGAAUGGGCAAUGUCUGAAAUGCUGAAGAACCCCAGCGUGAUGAAGAAGGCACAAGCUGAGAUUAGACAGGUUUUUUUUUUUUUUUUGUUUUUGGGCAAGGAAAUGUGGAUGAAAGUGGCCUUGAUGAAUUGAAGUACUAAAAGCAGUAAUCGAAGAGACCCUGAGGCUGCAUCCUUCUGCUCCUCUGUUACCACUCAAUAGAAAGUAGGGAGAGUUGUGAAAUAAUCGGAUAUGAGGUGCUUGCUCGAACCAGAGUUGUAGCGAAUGCAUGGGCGAUUGCCCGUGAUCCCCAAGUACUGGAAUGAUGCAGAGAAGUUCAAUCCAGAGAGGUUCUUGAUAGUCUGAUAGGUUACAAGUGGACAACUUUCAAAUAUAUGCAUUUGGUGUAGGAAGGUCAAUAUGCCCGGGGAUAUUGUAUGCUAUAACUAACAUUGAGCUGCCACUCGCACAGUUGCUGUACCAUCUGAACUGGGCGCUCCCCAGGGAUGGAAGGAAGAAGAUUUGGAUGACUGAGGUUUUCGGUGUGAUUGUAAGAAGAAAAUGGGAUCUGCACUUGAUUCCCAUUCCCUACAAGUCACCAUCCUAUGCUUUCCAAGUAAACGCACAAGGUUAUUAGAUGUUUGUAAAUUUUAUCUUUCCAAAAGUGAGAAGUUUCUGCCGUAUGUUGAAUACAAUGCAUGAACUAUUUGCCAAUGUGGUGACAUGACUGUUUAGGUUCAUAUGUAAUAUUAACCCUUUAUAUGUGUGGAACAGUGGAUCACAUUGCACCUGUUCUCAUCUUAAAAUGCAAGUUCACUCGUUCAAAGCUUGCA